Molecule: ribosomal RNA, 43 nt
Filed under: Crocodylus porosus (Australian saltwater crocodile)
Lineage: Eukaryota; Metazoa; Chordata; Crocodylia; Crocodylidae
Source: RNAcentral
ACUGAUUGCACCCGAUCCCGUCCGAUCUCGGAAGCUAAGCAGU